RNAcentral lists this ribosomal RNA (467 nucleotides) under uncultured bacterium. RNAcentral describes it as "partial 16S ribosomal RNA". It matches the Rfam family "Bacterial small subunit ribosomal RNA", at positions 29 to 507 of the family's 1533-position model. The record is from RNAcentral.
ACGAACGCUGGCGGCGUGCUUAACACCUGCCAGUCGCACGGAAAGGCCCUGCUUUUGUGGGGUGCUCGAGUGGCGAACGGGUGAGUAACACGUGAGUAACCUGCCCUUGACUUUGGGAUAACUUCAGGAAACUGGGGCUAAUACCGGAUAGGAGCUCCUGCUGCAUGGUGGGGGUUGGAAAGUUUCGGCGGUUGGGGAUGGACUCGCGGCUUAUCAGCUUGUUGGUGGGGUAGUGGCUUACCAAGGCUUUGACGGGUAGCCGGCCUGAGAGGGUGACCGGCCACAUUGGGACUGAGAUACGGCCCAGACUCCUACGGGAGGCAGCAGUGGGGAAUAUUGCACAAUGGGCGGAAGCCUGAUGCAGCAACGCCGCGUGCGGGAUGACGGUCUUCGGGUUGUAAACCGCUUUCGCCUGUGACGAAGCGUGAGUGACGGUAAUGGGUAAAGAAGCACCGGCUAACUACGUG